UUAGUCAGGGAGAAGAGAAUGCCCACACACGCGAACGAGUACACGCUAUCUGCAGCUCUUGUCAAAGAGUAGGAAGAUGCGACAUAAGGAGGGGAGUGGGAUAACACGAAGCUCAGUUGACCAUUGUACCGACGUUACAGACACUUUAUGGAGCUCGCUAAUAUUAAAUCUCUCUACCUUCAAAAUAAAAAAGCUUCCAUGUUUCGGGUAACGAAUCAGGAAGUUGUUUUGGUAUUUGAAAAAUUGUAACUACUCCACGAUUAUUG
Ceratosolen solmsi marchali is the source of this 266-nucleotide long non-coding RNA. RefSeq lists it as uncharacterized. Lineage: Eukaryota; Metazoa; Arthropoda; Insecta; Hymenoptera; Agaonidae. The record is from RefSeq and is a predicted model, not a curated record. The transcript has 3 exons.